This 335-nucleotide unclassified non-coding RNA is filed under the name uncultured fungus. Its description in RNAcentral is "partial contains 5.8S ribosomal RNA, internal transcribed spacer 2, and large subunit ribosomal RNA". The record is from RNAcentral. Lineage: Eukaryota; Fungi.
AACGCACAUUGCGCUCCUUGGUAUUCCGGGGAGCAUGCCUGUUUGAGAAUCAGUAAAUUCAUCGAACACGGUUUGGUUUCAUACCUGCUGUGAUCGGAUAUGGGCCUCUUUGCGCCUGGCGCAAUGGCCUGAAAUUCAAUGUCACGGAAUCAUUGGACACCAGUCCGGUUUCAAGCGCAUGAAAGGGUUAGUUCUCUCGAUUACGUCUUGUAGUAUCGUUCUGGUUUUGAAGGACUUUGACUUCUGGGAUUCAACUAUCACUCCAGAUGGCAUUCUUUUAGGGUGCUUUCUGAACACUUGGUCUCAAAUCAGGUAGGAAAACCCGCUGAACUUAA